This 442-nucleotide ribosomal RNA is filed under the name uncultured bacterium. Its description in RNAcentral is "partial 16S ribosomal RNA". It matches the Rfam family "Bacterial small subunit ribosomal RNA", at positions 338 to 795 of the family's 1533-position model. The record is from RNAcentral.
CCUACGGGAGGCCGCAGUGGGGAAUAUUGGGCAAUGGGCGCAAGCCUGACCCAGCAACGCCGCGUGAAGGAAGACGGCUUUCGGGUUGUAAACUUCUUUUGUCAGGGAAGAGUAGAAGACGGUACCUGACGAAUAAGCCACGGCUCACUACGUGCCAGCAGCCGCGGUAAUACGUAGGUGGCAAGCGUUGUCCGGAUUUACUGGGUGUAAAGGGCGUGUAUGCGGGUUAACAAUUCAGAUGUGAAAUCCUGCGGCUUAACCGCAGAACUGCAUUUGAAACUGUUGAUCUUGAGUACUGGAGAGGCAGAUGGAAUUCCUAGUGUAGCGGUGAAAUGCGUAGAUAUUAGGAGGAACACCAGUGGCGAAGGCGGUCUGCUGGACAGCAACUGACGGUGAGGCGCGAAAGCGUGGGGAGCAAACAGGAUUAGAUACCCCUGUAGUC